GAACGUAGAUAACAAUCUGUUAAAUCCUACUGUGUAGACGAGUGACAUAAAUAAAUAAAAGCUCAUGUGAAGUGGAACUAAAUCAGAUUCUUCACUUCAGGACAUUUCUGCAGGAGACCAGCAACCAUUCCACUGCUGCACAGGAACAAUGGGAAAUGUGGGAACAUUCAUCACUGUUCACAAUAAAACAGAUUACACAUUGACCAUCUGCCUUGAGUCUGGGGGUUAUUGUAUAAUUUGUCAUAAAAUCACAGUUAAACCUCGAGAAGAUAUAACGGAAAAUUACUCGACUCGCUCCGCUUGGGCCUCUUUUAAGGUGAAGCUUGGUGACUGCACAGAGCAAGAAUGGUGUAAAAAAACAGAUUUGUGGUGCGAGUUUAAUCCAAGAGAUAACCCAGAAUUCACAAUUAAAGAAAGUAAUGACCGCGAAUAUAUAGAACUGGACUGCAACAAAAAUCAUGAGAUGAAGAAACCAACAUGCCCAAAAGAAGGGAAGAAAUAAAAAUGAUGACUGAGAGGAAGAAGUGCAGCGACGUCAGACUCGGUGUGAAGGCAAAAGAGGAA
This is a long non-coding RNA of Silurus meridionalis, 564 nucleotides long. RefSeq lists it as uncharacterized. The transcript has 4 exons. Lineage: Eukaryota; Metazoa; Chordata; Actinopteri; Siluriformes; Siluridae. The record is from RefSeq and is a predicted model, not a curated record.